This 511-nucleotide unclassified non-coding RNA is filed under the name Hevea brasiliensis (rubber tree). The record is from RNAcentral. Lineage: Eukaryota; Viridiplantae; Streptophyta; Magnoliopsida; Malpighiales; Euphorbiaceae.
GAGGCGGGGGAGUCAAAAUUUUUUUCCUUGCGAUAAUAUAUGCCAUACUUGGAAUUCCUCUUUCCUAUGUGCUAUGGUACCGGCCUCUAUACCGUGCUAUGAGGACAGAUAGUGCCUUGAAGUUUGGUUGGUUCUUCAUGUUCUACUUGCUACAUAUCUUAUUUUGCAUUUUUGCUGCUAUUGCGCCUCCUGUUGUGUUUCACGGGCAGUCAUUGACGGGCAUCUUAGCAGCAAUCGACGUCUUCUCUGAACAUGUCUUGGUUGGGAUAUUCUACCUCAUUGGAUUUGGCUUUUUUUGCUUGGAAUCACUUCUUAGUUUGUGGGUUCUUCAGAAAAUCUAUUUGUAUUUUAGGGGAAACAAGUGAUUCAAAGUGAGAGAUUAAGCAACGGUCGCGAUGUGGCGGCGGUUUAAAUCUUUGGUUUGAUAUUUCUUGUGAUGGGGAGUACGGUCAUUGUAUUUUAGGAUGUUUUUUUGUUUAUGAGCUGAGAGAAAGAUGUGGAUUCUAAAAUU